AGUGAACGCUGGCGGUAGGCCUAACACAUGCAAGUCGACCGCAGCACAGUAAGGGCUUGCUCUUACGGGUGGCGAGUGGCGGACGGGUGAGGAAUACAUCUGAAUCUACUUUUUCGUGGGGGAUAACGGAGGGAAACUUACGCUAAUAACGCAUACGACCUACGGGUGAAAGCCGGGGAUCUUCGGACCUUGCGCGAUUGAAUGAGCCGAUGUCGGAUUAGCUAGUUGGCGGGGUAAAGGCCCACCAAGGCGACGAUCCGUAGCUGGUCUGAGAGGAUGAUCAGCCACACUGGAACUGAGACACGGUCCAGACUCCUACGGGAGGCAGCAGUGGGGAAUAUUGGACAAUGGGCGCAAGCCUGAUCCAGCCAUACCGCGUGGGUGAAGAAGGCCUUCGGGUUGUAAAGCCCUUUUGUUGGGAAAGAAAAGCAGCAGGUUAAUACCCCGCUGUUCUGACGGUACCCAAAGAAUAAGCACCGGCUAACUUCGUG
RNAcentral lists this ribosomal RNA (491 nucleotides) under uncultured bacterium. Its description in RNAcentral is "partial 16S ribosomal RNA". It matches the Rfam family "Bacterial small subunit ribosomal RNA", at positions 29 to 507 of the family's 1533-position model. The record is from RNAcentral.